AGGAAUAUUGGUCAAUGGACGAGAGUCUGAACCAGCCAAGUAGCGUGAAGGAUGACUGCCCUAUGGGUUGUAAACUUCUUUUAUACGGGAAUAAAGUGGUCCACGUGUGGACUUUUGUAUGUACCGUAUGAAUAAGGAUCGGCUAACUCCGUGCCAGCAGCCGCGGUAAUACGGAGGAUCCGAGCGUUAUCCGGAUUUAUUGGGUUUAAAGGGAGCGUAGGCGGGUGCUUAAGUCAGUUGUGAAAGUUUGCGGCUCAACCGUAAAAUUGCAGUUGAUACUGGAUAUCUUGAGUGCAGUUGAGGCAGGCGGAAUUCGUGGUGUAGCGGUGAAAUGCUUAGAUAUCACGAAGAACUCCGAUUGCGAAGGCAGCCUGCUAAGCUGCAACUGACAUUGAGGCUCGAAAGUGUGGGUAUCAAACAGGAUUAGAUACCCUGGUAGUCCACACGGUAAACGAUGAAUACUCGCUGUUUGCGAUAUACGGCAAGCGGCCAAGCGAAAGCGUUAAGUAUUCCACCUGGGGAGUACGCCGGCAACGGUGAAACUCAAAGGAAUUGACGGGGGCCCGCACAAGCGGAGGAACAUGUGGUUUAAUUCGAUGAUACGCGAGGAACCUUACCCGGGCUUAAAUUGCAGAUGAAUUACGGUGAAAGCCGUAAGCCGCAAGGCAUCUGUGAAGGUGCUGCAUGGUUGUCGUCAGCUCGUGCCGUGAGGUGUCGGCUUAAGUGCCAUAACGAGCGCAACCCUUGUUGUCAGUUACUAACAGGUCAUGCUGAGGACUCUGACAAGACUGCCAUCGUAAGAUGUGAGGAAGGUGGGGAUGACGUCAAAUCAGCACGGCCCUUACGUCCGGGGCUACACACGUGUUACAAUGGGGGGUACAGAGGGCCGCUACCACGCGAGUGGAUGCCAAUCCCAAAAACCUCUCUCAGUUCGGACUGGAGUCUGCAACCCGACUCCACGAAGCUGGAUUCGCUAGUAAUCGCGCAUCAGCCACGGCGCGGUGAAUACGUUCCCG
RNAcentral lists this ribosomal RNA (1016 nucleotides) under uncultured bacterium. RNAcentral describes it as "bacterial SSU rRNA". It matches the Rfam family "Bacterial small subunit ribosomal RNA", at positions 357 to 1376 of the family's 1533-position model. The record is from RNAcentral.